UGAAAACUAAGUUGACCGAUUAAUACAUUAAAAACUAAAUAUUCGUUUUCCAUUUUUUUGAAAACCGGUACAUUCAUCAUCUGGGACUGAAACGACUUGGGGUCGAAAUUGUUGGGUGGCGAAACGUCUAAGCAUCGCUGUGACGUAUGUCGAACAGACGAUAGACAGAUUUGGGAAGAGGAAAUGAAAGCUUAUUUCUAUUCGUUUAGAUAAUUGUCCCCCGUGAAACAAAAGGUUCCCAGGUUGUGUCUAACUGUGCUGUUGACUGAGAGGUCAAAGAGAAUAUAUGUGGUUCCCUGUGUCUGACUGUGCUGUGUACUGAGAGGUCAAAGAGAGAAUAUAUGUGGU
Long non-coding RNA from Magallana angulata, 348 nucleotides. RefSeq lists it as uncharacterized. NCBI's taxonomy places the organism in Eukaryota, Metazoa, Mollusca, Bivalvia, Ostreida, Ostreidae. The record is from RefSeq and is a predicted model, not a curated record. The transcript has 3 exons.